CUGCAGCCGGCGCGCCAGGCGCCGUAUGCUAAUGCAGGCGCCCGGGCCCGCGGACGGGAAGGAAGAAAAGCCCUCACAAAGGAGAGAAAUGCAAAUGACAGGCGCGGAGAUCAGUGCCGAGAAUCCCGGAUUAACUGAGCGGAGCUGGUGCUCGCCUGAGUUUAACCCUUUCUGGAUUGUGUCGGGGCUACACGGGGUUGCUGCCCUGAGCUCUGGUCUGGAUCUGGGUCCCAGCCGAAGUGCGGGUGCAGGCAGACGUGGGAAGAACCAAGUGAUACUCCAAUCAAAAAUGCAACGAGGAAGGAAAGAAAAUGAGGCCAGAGCAGAAGAGCAGAGACCCGGGUUAAAGCUUUGCAAACAUAACCUUCUCUGGAAGAGAACAAUGGAGGAAAUACUUCAUCAACACUGGGGCUCCCAAAACGCAAGUCAGGGUCCUGGUGCUGCUGGGGCCCUCCUGCUUUGGGACACAGCCUCUUUCAAAACAUCACCAUGAUAUGUACUUACGGAGAGGAAAACAUUUACUAAAACCCAUAAACUCUCCUGGGAGCAUGUGGAAAUGACUGUCCAUCCCUGGAUUAUGGCCACACCAUCUGUAUCCCAUCUCCACAUCUCCCAGGUCCAGCACAGGGUCCAGACAGCAGCAGAAAGCCCACAUCUGUGUUGGGAAAGAAAUGAACUCUACGGCCAAGGAGAGGUAGGUGAAUGUGUUCACACAGACACACACACCAGGA
Molecule: long non-coding RNA, 731 nt
Organism: Camelus dromedarius (Arabian camel)
Lineage: Eukaryota; Metazoa; Chordata; Mammalia; Artiodactyla; Camelidae
Exons: 3
Source: RefSeq, a predicted model, not a curated record